This is a long non-coding RNA of Ostrea edulis (European flat oyster), 978 nucleotides long. RefSeq lists it as uncharacterized. The record is from RefSeq and is a predicted model, not a curated record. Lineage: Eukaryota; Metazoa; Mollusca; Bivalvia; Ostreida; Ostreidae. The transcript has 3 exons.
AAAUAUGCAAUUUUGGAUAAAAAACAUGUUUCCCCAAAAAAAAUCAGUACAUAUAAACAAAAGACUGGCGGAUUUGAACCUGGGAUCUGCGGUUCACCAGACCAAUGCUAUGACCACUGAGCUAACCGACUUGAAUAAAGAAUUACAGACUUCCAGAACAGGUGCAUCAUGCAGAUCCUUUUAAAAAGGAGAGGCCAGAUCUUCAGAUGACUUUAUUGAAAAUGAGAAAUUUCUGAGUGGAAGUGACGAAUGUGGCAUGCAUACAAGCAGACAUCAGCAUUCCCUCCCUCUUGUUUGUAUCAGAGGUGAGCUUUUUGAGAAAGACUCAUGGAGGAAGUUUGAGAGUGUCAGUUCUCAGAUCAAAAAGUUAGCUAGCAGUAGGAGGAGUAGCAAUUCAUUCCACAGUAUGACAUGAGAAAUACAUGACUAGAAAGACCUUAAAAAGGAGAUUUGGCAUUGUUUCAUGUGGAGAUUAAAGAACCUUCGAAAUGUAUAACACAGACAUGUUUCAGUUACUUGGGGAUAACACUUAUGAGGAAUUUUGCUAACUUUCAGAUUGGAAUGUGUUGCACAAGAAAUGCUUGAUCACAACCCUCUUCUGUUAAAAUCCUUUUCUAUGCAAAUAAUUAGUGUAAAUGAAAUUUAGCUAUUUCAUUAGUAAACAUGUUUUCUGGGCAAGUGUGUGUCUUUGACAUUAAAUGCUAUGAUAUUGUCGUAUUCUUAAACAAUGGAAGAUCUCUACUAGUUCUUUCAAAGGAAAGCCAACAACAGGAAUCGAACCUGUUCCUCCAUUGUACAGAUACGAAAGUGUGCACCAUUACACCAUGUUGGCAUACAUUAAGAACUGGUAGCCUCGGAGAGUAAAUAUUGCAUUAUUCUUGUACAGUUGAUACUGGUUAUUGUGAUAUAUGUAUAUAUACAAGUAUAUAUAAUGUAUGCCUCAUGUUUGGUAGUCGUCAAUAAAGCAUUUGAAUUGAA